RNAcentral lists this unclassified non-coding RNA (196 nucleotides) under uncultured Hyaloscyphaceae. RNAcentral describes it as "sequence contains ITS1". The record is from RNAcentral. Lineage: Eukaryota; Fungi; Ascomycota; Leotiomycetes; Helotiales.
UCGUGUUCCUGCCCUCACGGGUAGCAACCCCACCCUUUGUUUAUUACUAUCAUACCUUGGGCGGCGCCUCCGGGCGUCAGUCCUUGUUUUGUUUCUUUGGCAGGCCGCCUUCGGGCGCCGGCUUCGGCUGGAGAGUGCCUGCCAGAGACCCAUACAACCCUAUUUUCGUGCUUGUCUGAGUAUAAUAUAAUAGUUA